RNAcentral lists this ribosomal RNA (253 nucleotides) under uncultured bacterium. Its description in RNAcentral is "partial 16S ribosomal RNA". It matches the Rfam family "Bacterial small subunit ribosomal RNA", at positions 524 to 776 of the family's 1533-position model. The record is from RNAcentral.
UACGUAGGGUGCAAGCGUUGUCCGGAAUUAUUGGGCGUAAAGGGCUCGUAGGCGGUCCAUCGCGUCGGGUGUGAAAAGCUGGGGCUCAACCCCAGUCCUGCUUCCGAUACGGGUGGACUAGAGGUAUGCAGGGGAGAACGGAAUUCCUGGUGUAGCGGUGAAAUGCGCAGAUAUCAGGAGGAACACCGGUGGCGAAGGCGGGUCUCUGGGCAGUAACUGACGCUGAGGAGCGAAAGCGUGGGGAGCAAACAGG